GGGUGUCCCCUUCCUCCCUCACUGAUCCAUGUGCAUCCCUCUUGAAACUGUGUGCUCUGUGGAAGAGGACGAACUUUUCUGCAUAGAGGAAGGCCAGUCUUUAUUAAGGGUAUACAAGUAGUUGCGCUCCUGUGCUAGAACCCCCAAACAAGCUUAAGAUCCUGCAUGCAUCUUUUACUAUUCCAGAAAAAGUGAUCCUUGAGGCUUUAUGGCCACCUGACUAGCCAA
Molecule: small RNA, 228 nt
Filed under: Meriones unguiculatus (Mongolian gerbil)
Lineage: Eukaryota; Metazoa; Chordata; Mammalia; Rodentia; Muridae
Description: 7SK RNA (ENSMUGG00000007177.1)
Rfam family: 7SK RNA
About the family: 7SK was discovered as an abundant small nuclear RNA in the mid-70s but a possible function has only recently been suggested. Two independent studies have found that 7SK RNA binds the CDK9/cyclin T complex (known as elongation factor P-TEFb). P-TEFb activates transcription by phosphorylating the C-terminal domain of RNA polymerase II.
Source: RNAcentral